UACGUAGGUGGCAAGCGUUAUCCGGAAUUAUUGGGCGUAAAGCGCGCGCAGGCGGUUUCUUAAGUCUGAUGUGAAAGCCCACGGCUUAACCGUGGAAGGUCAUUGGAAACUGGGAGACUUGAGUGCAGAAGAGAAGAGCGGAAUUCCACGUGUAGCGGUGAAAUGCGUAGAGAUGUGGAGGAACACCAGUGGCGAAGGCGGCUCUUUGGUCUGUAACUGACGCUGAGGCGCGAAAGCGUGGGGGAUCAAACAGG
This 254-nucleotide ribosomal RNA is filed under the name uncultured bacterium. Its description in RNAcentral is "partial 16S ribosomal RNA". It matches the Rfam family "Bacterial small subunit ribosomal RNA", at positions 524 to 776 of the family's 1533-position model. The record is from RNAcentral.